Molecule: ribosomal RNA, 215 nt
Filed under: uncultured Prevotella sp.
Lineage: Bacteria; Pseudomonadati; Bacteroidota; Bacteroidia; Bacteroidales; Prevotellaceae
Description: partial 16S ribosomal RNA
Rfam family: Bacterial small subunit ribosomal RNA
Source: RNAcentral
AAUAACUCGGCGAAAGUCGGACUAAUACCGUAUGAUAUCCUAUGCAGGCAUCUAAAUAGGAUUAAAGGUUUAGCGGUAAGGGAUGGGGAUGCGUCUGAUUAGGCAGUUGGCGGGGUAACGGCCCACCAAACCGACGAUCAGUAGGGGUUCUGAGAGGAAGGUCCCCCACAUUGGAACUGAUACACGGUCCAAACUACCUACGGGAGGCAGCAGGA